UAAGAAACCGUUAUUUUAUGUACAGC
Molecule: non-coding RNA, 26 nt
Filed under: Rattus norvegicus (Norway rat)
Lineage: Eukaryota; Metazoa; Chordata; Mammalia; Rodentia; Muridae
Source: RNAcentral